UACGAAGGGGGCUAGCGUUGCUCGGAAUCACUGGGCGUAAAGGGCGCGUAGGCGGACUCUUAAGUCGGGGGGUGAAAGCCCAGGGCUCAACCCUGGAAUUGCCUUCGAUACUGAGAGUCUUGAGUUCGGAAGAGGUUGGUGGAACUGCGAGUGUAGAGGUGAAAUUCGUAGAUAUUCGCAAGAACACCAGUGGCGAAGGCGGCCAACUGGUCCGAUACUGACGCUGAGGCGCGAAAGCGUGGGGAGCAAACAGG
RNAcentral lists this ribosomal RNA (254 nucleotides) under uncultured bacterium. Its description in RNAcentral is "partial 16S ribosomal RNA". It matches the Rfam family "Bacterial small subunit ribosomal RNA", at positions 524 to 776 of the family's 1533-position model. The record is from RNAcentral.